This 654-nucleotide ribosomal RNA is filed under the name Staphylococcus aureus. RNAcentral describes it as "bacterial SSU rRNA". It matches the Rfam family "Bacterial small subunit ribosomal RNA", at positions 196 to 838 of the family's 1533-position model. Lineage: Bacteria; Bacillati; Bacillota; Bacilli; Caryophanales; Staphylococcaceae. The record is from RNAcentral.
AAAAGUGAAAGACGGUCUUGCUGUCACUUAUAGAUGGAUCCGCGCUGCAUUAGCUAGUUGGUAAGGUAACGGCUUACCAAGGCAACGAUGCAUAGCCGACCUGAGAGGGUGAUCGGCCACACUGGAACUGAGACACGGUCCAGACUCCUACGGGAGGCAGCAGUAGGGAAUCUUCCGCAAUGGGCGAAAGCCUGACGGAGCAACGCCGCGUGAGUGAUGAAGGUCUUCGGAUCGUAAAACUCUGUUAUUAGGGAAGAACAUAUGUGUAAGUAACUGUGCACAUCUUGACGGUACCUAAUCAGAAAGCCACGGCUAACUACGUGCCAGCAGCCGCGGUAAUACGUAGGUGGCAAGCGUUAUCCGGAAUUAUUGGGCGUAAAGCGCGCGUAGGCGGUUUUUUAAGUCUGAUGUGAAAGCCCACGGCUCAACCGUGGAGGGUCAUUGGAAACUGGAAAACUUGAGUGCAGAAGAGGAAAGUGGAAUUCCAUGUGUAGCGGUGAAAUGCGCAGAGAUAUGGAGGAACACCAGUGGCGAAGGCGACUUUCUGGUCUGUAACUGACGCUGAUGUGCGAAAGCGUGGGGAUCAAACAGGAUUAGAUACCCUGGUAGUCCACGCCGUAAACGAUGAGUGCUAAGUGUUAGGGGGUUUCCGCC